This 271-nucleotide ribosomal RNA is filed under the name Limosilactobacillus reuteri. RNAcentral describes it as "Lactobacillus reuteri partial 16S ribosomal RNA". It matches the Rfam family "Bacterial small subunit ribosomal RNA", at positions 1 to 234 of the family's 1533-position model. The record is from RNAcentral. Lineage: Bacteria; Bacillati; Bacillota; Bacilli; Lactobacillales; Lactobacillaceae.
UUUAUAUGAGAGUUUGAUCCUGGCUCAGGAUGAACGCCGGCGGUGUGCCUAAUACAUGCAAGUCGUACGCACUGGCCCAACUGAUUGAUGGUGCUUGCACCUGAUUGACGAUGGAUCACCAGUGAGUGGCGGACGGGUGAGUAACACGUAGGUAACCCGCCCCGGAGCGGGGGAUAACAUUUGGAAACAGAUGAUAAUACCGCAUAACAACAAAAGCCGCAUGGCUUUUGUUUGAAAGAUGGCUUUGGCUAUCACUCUGGGAUGGACCUGC